UAAUACUGUACAUUUUCCUGACACUUACAGAUCACUGUUUUGUCAUUUUUAUACUUCUAUAUAAUUAGUAACAUUCUAAAAUUUAAGUUCUGAAUUAUCCUGGGGCAAAUAACUUAGCAUAUUCAUUUAGGAUGCUUAAUAGCAUAGCAAAGCUCUGGUCAAAUGACUUCUCUCUCCUACCAAGACUGAAGAUUGGAGUAGAAACAUCUGGCUAAAAUUCUAUCAACUAGCCGAGAGGAUGGUGACAGCAACUGUACAGGAUGGAAUAAGAAUGCUGAUCUUGCAAGAAAAUUCCCCUCUGAAGUAUUUUUGCAGCUCAUACACAAAUCUAACCUAAGGAUAUUAUGAAUAUUUCCAUUUUGAAAAUAUUUAGAAGACAGACACUUUGGAGUGACAGAAUUUGUUGCAAAUUUCUCUAUUUCACAGCUAUCUCAGUGGGUUGGUUGCUCCACAUUAAGAGUAAAUCCUGGGAAAUUCUGCACUCAUGAGAACUGUUUCAGAUUUUGCAAAAUAAGCAGUUGUAAGAAUGGAGAAGAAUGGAAGAAGGGAAGAGAUCACUUUGAUCUAUAUUCAAGAUUAGGUGGCUGUAGAUGAAUGGAAGAUUGGUUACUAGUGGACACAAAUAUUUGGCAUUCAAAAGUGAACCAGUUAGAAAUACUGCUCUUAGCCCUUGAUGUGGCCUUUAUGUUUUGUUGUUAUUUCAUAUCAUCAUUAAGCUGAAUGAUCUUCCACUGUGCUAUAUUCUGAACUGAGAAAAGAUAAUUACAAUUUUAUUACAAUAUACUGUGAUAUCACUUUUACAGAUGGAUUAAAUGAAGUUUAAAAAAAGACUGGAUGUGGCACUUGGUGCCAUGAUCUAGUUGAGGUGUUGGAACAUGGGUUGGACUCGAUGAUCUUAAAGGUCUCUUCCAACCUAGAAUUUCUGUGAUUCUGUGAAUUUGGAUGUGUGUGCAAAAAAAGUCCAAAUUAAGGGUUAAUAUAAUGUGAAAUUUGCUCAUAUCCUCGUUUUGCCUCACUAUACUAAGGAUGCUUCUUUUGGUUCUCAAGGAAAGAAUUCAGGAGAUAAAAAAUGGACACAAAGGAGCACAUUUUCAAGAGUAACAGGGAGAGCAGCACUGAAGUAAGAAAAGGGAGGAAAAAAGCCAAAAAAACAAAAGCCAGAAGGUAUAAUCUGAUCUGAAGCCUGUGACUAGCUUAAUAAAAUUACUGAAUUGUUUAAUAGUAUCUCA
Zonotrichia albicollis (white-throated sparrow) is the source of this 1229-nucleotide long non-coding RNA. The record is from Ensembl. NCBI's taxonomy places the organism in Eukaryota, Metazoa, Chordata, Aves, Passeriformes, Passerellidae.